RNAcentral lists this unclassified non-coding RNA (309 nucleotides) under plant metagenome. RNAcentral's name for it is "partial contains 5.8S ribosomal RNA, internal transcribed spacer 2, and large subunit ribosomal RNA". The stretch from base 1 to 105 matches the Rfam family "5.8S ribosomal RNA", at positions 50 to 154 of the family's 154-position model. The record is from RNAcentral.
GAAAUGCGAUAAGUAGUGUGAAUUGCAGAAUUCAGUGAAUCAUCGAAUCUUUGAACGCACAUUGCGCCCCUUGGUAUUCCAUGGGGCAUGCCUGUUCGAGCGUCAUUUGUACCCUCAAGCUCUGCUUGGUGUUGGGUGUUUGUCCCGUCUCCGCGCGUGGACUCGCCCCAAAGUGAUUGGCAGCCGGCGUACUGGUCCCGGAGCGCAGCACAUGUCGCGCAAACGAGUGCCUUGGUACGGCGGCGUCCAUAAGCCCCUCUCUCACGCUCUUGACCUCGGAUCAGGUAGUGAUACCCGCUGAACUUGAGC